Molecule: ribosomal RNA, 988 nt
Filed under: Listeria monocytogenes
Lineage: Bacteria; Bacillati; Bacillota; Bacilli; Caryophanales; Listeriaceae
Description: partial 23S ribosomal RNA
Rfam family: Bacterial large subunit ribosomal RNA
Source: RNAcentral
GGUUAAGUUAGAAAGGGCGCACGGUGGAUGCCUUGGCACUAGGAGCCGAAGAAGGACGGGACUAACACCGAUAUGCUUUGGGGAGCUGUACGUAAGCGUUGAUCCAGAGAUUUCCGAAUGGGGGAACCCACUAUCUUUAGUCGGAUAGUAUCCUUACGUGAAUACAUAGCGUGAGGAAGGCAGACCCAGGGAACUGAAACAUCUAAGUACCUGGAGGAAGAGAAAGAAAAAUCGAUUUCCUGAGUAGCGGCGAGCGAAACGGAAAGAGCCCAAACCAAGAAGCUUGCUUCUUGGGGUUGUAGGACACUCUAUACGGAGUUACAAAAGAAAGUUAUAAAUGAAGCGGUCUGGAAAGGCCCGCCAAAGACGGUAACAGCCCGGUAGUUGAAAUGGCUUUCCCUCCAGAGUGGAUCCUGAGUACGGCGGAACACGUGAAAUUCCGUCGGAAUCCGGGAGGACCAUCUCCCAAGGCUAAAUACUCCCUAGUGACCGAUAGUGAACCAGUACCGUGAGGGAAAGGUGAAAAGCACCCCGGAAGGGGAGUGAAACAGUUCCUGAAACCGUGUGCCUACAAGUAGUUAGAGCCCGUUAAUGGGUGAUAGCGUGCCUUUUGUAGAAUGAACCGGCGAGUUACGAUUUGUUGCAAGGUUAAGCGGAAAAAGCGGAGCCGUAGCGAAAGCGAGUCUGAAUAGGGCGCAUAAGUAACAGGUCGUAGACCCGAAACCAGGUGAUCUACCCAUGUCCAGGAUGAAGGUAAGGUAAUACUUACUGGAGGUCCGAACCCACGCACGUUGAAAAGUGCGGGGAUGAGGUGUGGGUAGCGGAGAAAUUCCAAUCGAACUUGGAGAUAGCUGGUUCUCUCCGAAAUAGCUUUAGGGCUAGCCUCGAGGUAAAGAGUCAUGGAGGUAGAGCACUGUUUGGACUAGGGGCCCUUCUCGGGUUACCGAAUUCAGAUAAACUCCGAAUGCCAUGUACUUAUACUCGGGAG